RNAcentral lists this ribosomal RNA (253 nucleotides) under uncultured bacterium. RNAcentral describes it as "partial 16S ribosomal RNA". It matches the Rfam family "Bacterial small subunit ribosomal RNA", at positions 524 to 776 of the family's 1533-position model. The record is from RNAcentral.
UACGGAGGAUGCAAGCGUUAUCCGGAAUGAUUGGGCGUAAAGCGCGCGUAGGUGGCUUCAUAAGUCCGUUGUGAAAGUCAAAGGCUCAACCUUUGAAAGCCGAUGGAUACUGUGGAGCUAGAGUACGGAAGAGGCGAGUGGAAUUCCUGGUGUAGCGGUGGAAUGCGCAGAUAUCAGGAGGAACACCAAUAGCGAAGGCAGCUCGCUGGGACGUUACUGACACUGAGGCGCGAAAGCGUGGGGAGCGAACAGG